This is a small nuclear RNA of Alligator mississippiensis (American alligator), 196 nucleotides long. It matches the Rfam family "U2 spliceosomal RNA". Rfam says of the family: U2 is a small nuclear RNA (snRNA) component of the spliceosome (involved in pre-mRNA splicing). Complementary binding between U2 snRNA (in an area lying towards the 5' end but 3' to hairpin I) and the branchpoint sequence (BPS) of the intron results the bulging out of an unpaired adenosine, on the BPS, which initiates a nucleophilic attack at the intronic 5' splice site, thus starting the first of two transesterification reactions that mediate splicing. The record is from Rfam. Lineage: Eukaryota; Metazoa; Chordata; Crocodylia; Alligatoridae.
GUAGCAUCUCGGCCUUUUUGGCUAAGAUCAAACGUGCAUUUUUUGGCACCAAGGGGAGGAGCGCCUGGUGAGGGCCAUCCCAGCCGCAGCAGGGGAGAUCUGCAUUUUUGGCACCAAGGGGAGUGUGUCAGGGCUGCCCCUGGCUCUCCUAGUACCAGCCCGGUAUUGCAAUACCUCCAGGUCCAGUGCCAGUUCC